This 419-nucleotide ribosomal RNA is filed under the name uncultured bacterium. RNAcentral describes it as "partial 16S ribosomal RNA". It matches the Rfam family "Bacterial small subunit ribosomal RNA", at positions 362 to 773 of the family's 1533-position model. The record is from RNAcentral.
UAUUGGACAAUGGGGGCAACCCUGAUCCAGCCAUGCCGCGUGUGUGAAGAAGGUCUUCGGAUUGUAAAGCCCUUUCAGUUGGGAGGAAGGGCUUUAGGUUAAUACCCUGAUGUUUUGACGUUACCACCAGAUUAAGCCACGGCUAACUCGUUGUCAGCAGCCGCGGUAAGACAGAGGGUGCAAGCGUUAAUCGGAAUUACUGGGCGUAAAGCGCGCGUAGGUGGUUCAGUAAGAUGGGUGUGAAAUCCCCGGGCUUAACCUGGGAACUGCUUUCAUAACUGCUGAGCUAGAGUACGGUAGAGGGUAGUGGAAUUUCCUGUGUAGCGGUGAAAUGCGUAGAUAUAGGAAGGAACACCAGUGGCGAAGGCGACUACCUGGACUGAUACUGACACUGAGGUGCGAAAGCGUGGGGAGCAAAC